AACGAACGCUGGCGGCAUGCCUAACACAUGCCAGUCGAACGAGACCUUCGGGUCUAGUGGCGCACGGGUGCGUAACGCGUGGGAACCUGCCCUUAGGUUCGGAAUAACUCCCCGAAAUGGGUGCUAAUACCGGAUAAUGUCUUCGGACCAAAGAUUUAUCGCCUUUGGAUGGGCCCGCGUUGGAUUAGCUAGUUGGUAGGGUAAAAGCCUACCAAGGCGACGAUCCAUAGCUGGUCUGAGAGGAUGAUCAGCCACACUGGGACUGAGACACGGCCCAGACUCCUACGGGAGGCAGCAGUGGGGAAUAUUGGACAAUGGGCGAAAGCCUGAUCCAGCAAUGCCGCGUGAGUGAUGAAGGCCUUAGGGUUGUAAAGCUCUUUUACCCGGGAUGAUAAUGACAGUACCGGGAGAAUAAGCUCCGGCUAACUCCGUG
This 433-nucleotide ribosomal RNA is filed under the name uncultured bacterium. RNAcentral describes it as "partial 16S ribosomal RNA". It matches the Rfam family "Bacterial small subunit ribosomal RNA", at positions 29 to 507 of the family's 1533-position model. The record is from RNAcentral.